This 92-nucleotide transfer RNA is filed under the name Inquilinus limosus MP06. RNAcentral describes it as "tRNA-Ser". It matches the Rfam family "tRNA". Rfam says of the family: Transfer RNA (tRNA) molecules are approximately 80 nucleotides in length. Their secondary structure includes four short double-helical elements and three loops (D, anti-codon, and T loops). Lineage: Bacteria; Pseudomonadati; Pseudomonadota; Alphaproteobacteria; Rhodospirillales; Rhodospirillaceae. The record is from RNAcentral.
ACUCCGGUGGUGGAAUUGGCAUACACAGCCGACUGCUACUCGGCCGGUCAGUCCGCGAGGCGAUCAUGUGGGUUCGAAUCCCGCCCGGAGCA